GACGAACGCUGGCGGCGUGCUUAACACAUGCAAGUCGAACGGUGAAGGGGCCUGCUUUUGUGGGCCCUGGAUGAGUGGCGAACGGGUGAGUAACACGUGAGUAACCUGCCCCCUUCUUCUGGAUAACCGCAUGAAAGUGUGGCUAAUACGGGAUAUUCUGGGUCUGUCGCAUGAUGGGUCUGGGAAAGAUUGCGCCUUUGGGUGUUUUUGGUGGGGGAUGGGCUCGCGGCCUAUCAGCUUGUUGGUGGGGUGAUGGCCUACCAAGGCGGUGACGGGUAGCCGGGCUGGGGGGGUGGAAGGUUACACUUGGACUGGGACACGGCCCAGACUCCUACGGGAGGCAGCAGUGGGGAAUAUUGCACAAUGGGCGCAAGCCUGAUGCAGCGACGCCGCGUGAGGGAUGGAGGCCUUCGGGUUGUAAACCUCUUUCGCCAGUGAAGCAGGCCUGCUCCUUGUGGGUGGGUUGACGGUAGCUGGAUAAGAAGCGCCGGCUAACUACGUG
Molecule: ribosomal RNA, 502 nt
Filed under: uncultured bacterium
Lineage: Bacteria
Description: partial 16S ribosomal RNA
Rfam family: Bacterial small subunit ribosomal RNA
Source: RNAcentral